GGAAGUUUCCAGGUGUUGUACCUGCCUGUGGCCGAGAGCCACACCCCAGUUGUUAUUGUUCUUACACGCUGGAUUUUAUCAGCUUCCAGUAUUACUGUUUGACCUGAAAACUUUAUGAUAUCAGAUUUGUUUGGGCUAGUAAAUCAUUCUGUGACUCCGGGUCAGGCAGCAGAAAGGGCUGUUGAACCAAAUCUCGUCUCCUGAGUUUUAACUUGUGGCACUGCGAGCUUCCCCAAAGAUCAACACACAACACACUGCCUGAAAACUGGUCUGACGAGCACCUCUGCAGCAGGAGGUGGUAGGCUGACAUGGUGAUUAGAAGAAGGGAGGGAAGGGAAGACUGAAACUGAAUGCUUUCAAGUCCUACCAGCCAGCCACACUAAGAGAGAUGAGGCUUUCUCCUGGCAACACUUCCAUACAAGCCAUACUUGCCCAGUCCUUUUCUCAGCCACCAAGUGGUAGGCAACAAAAAAGUGACAGAGUGGGGUGGAUACUGAGGCGUAAACAAACGUCACCAACUUUCUGCAGAGUCAGUUG
Long non-coding RNA from Archocentrus centrarchus (flier cichlid), 537 nucleotides. RefSeq lists it as uncharacterized. NCBI's taxonomy places the organism in Eukaryota, Metazoa, Chordata, Actinopteri, Cichliformes, Cichlidae. The transcript has 3 exons. The record is from RefSeq and is a predicted model, not a curated record.